AUUGAACGCUGGCGGCAGGCCUAACACAUGCAAGUCGAGCGGAUGAAGGGAGCUUGCUCCUGGAUUCCGCGGCGGACGGGUGAGUAAUGCCUAGGAAUCUGCCUGGUAGUGGGGGAUAACGUCCGUAAACGGGCGCUAAUACCGCAUACGUCCUGAGGGAGAAAGUGGGGGAUCUUCGGACCUCACGCUAUCAGAUGAGCCUAGGUCGGAUUAGCUAGUUGGUGGGGUAAAGGCCUACCAAGGCGACGAUCCGUAACUGGUCUGAGAGGAUGAUCAGUCACACUGGAACUGAGACACGGUCCAGACUCCUACGGGAGGCAGCAGUGGGGAAUCUUGGACAAUGGGCGAAAGCCUGAUCCAGCAAUGCCGCGUGUGUGAAGAAGGUCUUCGGAUUGUAAAGCACUUUAAGUUGGGAGGAAGGGCAGUAAGUUAAUACCUUGCUGUUUUGACGUUACCAACAGAAUAAGCACCGGCUAACUUCGUG
This 484-nucleotide ribosomal RNA is filed under the name uncultured bacterium. RNAcentral's name for it is "partial 16S ribosomal RNA". It matches the Rfam family "Bacterial small subunit ribosomal RNA", at positions 30 to 507 of the family's 1533-position model. The record is from RNAcentral.